AUGGCAGGUGGCAAGGAGGCAUCCUACAGGAAAACCCAGCGUGGGCUGAAGGGGAUUCUUGGAAAAGAACCUGGCACAAGCCCAACACCUGAAUUUAGAAGCACCGGGCAGAAGAGAACAGAGGCUGCUGGCUCCAAGACAUGGAUGAAGUUCUCCCUCCUUCCCAAUGAAAGGAAAGUUUCAUAUCAGAGUACAGUCAUAAGUCUUUGA
This 210-nucleotide long non-coding RNA is filed under the name Ursus maritimus (polar bear). RNAcentral's name for it is "lncRNA (ENSUMAG00000002514.1)". The record is from RNAcentral. Lineage: Eukaryota; Metazoa; Chordata; Mammalia; Carnivora; Ursidae.